GACGAACGCUGGCGGCGUGCUUAACACAUGCAAGUCGAACGGAAAGGCCCUGCUUUUGUGGGGUUCUCGAGGGGCGAACGGGUGAGUAACACGUGAGUAACCUGCCCUUGACUUUGGGAGAACUUCAGGAAACUGGGGCUAAUACCGUGUAGGAUAUCCUGCUGCAUGGUGGGGGUUGGAAAGUCUCGGCGGUUGGGGAUGGACGCGCGGCUGAUCAGCUUGUUGGUGGGGUAGUGGCUGACCAAGGCUUGGGCGGAUAGCCCGCCUGGGAGGGUGGACGGCGUCCAUAGGACUGCGGUACGGCCCAGAGUCCUACGGUAGGCAGAAGUGGGGAGUCUUGCACAGUGGGCGGGCGCCUGAUGAAGCAGCGCCGCGUGCGGGAUGCCGGCCUUCGGGUUAUGAACCGCUUUCGCUUGUGACGAAGCGUGAGUGACGGUAACGAGUGAAGAAGCACCGGCUAACUACGUG
Molecule: ribosomal RNA, 468 nt
Filed under: uncultured bacterium
Lineage: Bacteria
Description: partial 16S ribosomal RNA
Rfam family: Bacterial small subunit ribosomal RNA
Source: RNAcentral